GAUGAACGCUGGCGGCGUGCUUAACACAUGCAAGUCGAACGGAAAGGCCCCAGCUUGCUGGGUACUCGAGUGGCGAACGGGUGAGUAACACGUGGGUGAUCUGCCCUGCACUUUGGGAUAAGCUUGGGAAACUGGGUCUAAUACCGAAUAUGACCACUUCUUGGAUGUUGUGGUGGAAAGCUUUUGCGGUGUGGGAUGAGCCUGCGGCCUAUCAGCUUGUUGGUGGGGUAAUGGCCUACCAAGGCGGCGACGGGUAUCCGGCCUGAGAGGGUGUACGGACACAUUGGGACUGGGAUACGGCCCAGACUCCUACGGGAGGCAGCAGUGGGGAAUAUUGCACAAUGGGCGCAAGCCUGAUGCAGCGACGCCGCGUGGGGGAUGAAGGCCUUCGGGUUGUAAACUCCUUUCGCUAUCGACGAAGCCACUUGUGGUGACGGUAGGUAGAUAAGAAGCACCGGCUAACUACGUGCCAGCCGCCGCUGUAA
This 485-nucleotide ribosomal RNA is filed under the name uncultured bacterium. RNAcentral's name for it is "partial 16S ribosomal RNA". It matches the Rfam family "Bacterial small subunit ribosomal RNA", at positions 28 to 523 of the family's 1533-position model. The record is from RNAcentral.